CGGCGGACGGGUGAGGAACACAUCGGAAUCUACCCUGUCGUGGGGGACAACGUAGGGAAACUUACGCUAAUACCGCAUACGACCUUUGGGUGAAAGCGGGGGACUCGCAAGGGCCCCGCGCGAUUGGAUGAGCCGAUGUCCGAUUAGCUAGUUGGCGGGGUAAUGGCCCACCAAGGCGACGAUCGGUAGCUGGUCUGAGAGGACGACCAGCCACACUGGAACUGAGACACGGUCCAG
RNAcentral lists this ribosomal RNA (237 nucleotides) under uncultured bacterium. RNAcentral describes it as "partial 16S ribosomal RNA". It matches the Rfam family "Bacterial small subunit ribosomal RNA", at positions 96 to 334 of the family's 1533-position model. The record is from RNAcentral.